This 253-nucleotide ribosomal RNA is filed under the name uncultured bacterium. RNAcentral describes it as "partial 16S ribosomal RNA". It matches the Rfam family "Bacterial small subunit ribosomal RNA", at positions 524 to 776 of the family's 1533-position model. The record is from RNAcentral.
GACGAAGGUGGCGAGCGUUGUUCGGAAUCAUUGGGCUUAAAGGGUGCGUAGGCGGCUCAUCAAGUGUCUUGUGAAAUCCCUCGGCUUAACCGAGGAAUUGCUGGGCAUACUGUUGAGCUUGAGGCAGGUAUGAGCGAGUGGAACUCUUGGUGGAGCGGUGGAAUGCGUAGAUAUCAAGAGGAACGCCGGUGGUGAAGACGAUUCGCUGGGCCUGUCCUGACGCUGAGGCACGAAAGCCAGGGGAGCAAACGGG